UACGUAGGGGGCAAGCGUUGUCCGGAUUUAUUGGGCGUAAAGAGCGUGUAGGCGGUUAUGCAGGUCCGCUGUGAAAACUGGAGGCUUAACCUCCAGACGUCGGUGGAAACCGUAUGACUAGAGUCCGGAAGAGGAGAGUGGAAUUCCUGGUGUAGCGGUGAAAUGCGUAGAUAUCGGGAGGAACACCAGUGGCGAAGGCGACUUCCUGGCCUGUUCUUGACGCUGAGGCGCGAAAGCUAGGGGAGCAAACGGG
RNAcentral lists this ribosomal RNA (253 nucleotides) under uncultured bacterium. RNAcentral describes it as "partial 16S ribosomal RNA". It matches the Rfam family "Bacterial small subunit ribosomal RNA", at positions 524 to 776 of the family's 1533-position model. The record is from RNAcentral.